This 73-nucleotide transfer RNA is filed under the name Pseudonocardia oroxyli. It matches the Rfam family "tRNA". Rfam says of the family: Transfer RNA (tRNA) molecules are approximately 80 nucleotides in length. The record is from Rfam by way of RNAcentral. RNAcentral also lists the same sequence under 1 other name. Lineage: Bacteria; Bacillati; Actinomycetota; Actinomycetes; Pseudonocardiales; Pseudonocardiaceae.
GGGCGUGUAGCUCAGCUGGAAGAGCUCCUGGUUUACACCCAGGCGGUCGCAGGUUCGAGUCCUGUCGCGCCCA